AUUGAACGCUGGCGGCGUGCCUUAUACAUGCAAGUCGAACGAACACAUGGGUGCUUUCACCUGGUGGCGAGUGGCGCACGGGUGUGUAUUACAUGGGGAUAAGUCCUGUAUAGGGGUGUAGUCCGUCGAGAGCACGAUUAAUACCGCCUACGAUUAUCGGAAACCAGCGGGGUCCCUUCUGACCUCGGGCUUUGCUGUUGGUCGUUGGCGGAUUAGCUCGUUGGUAGGGUAAAGGCCUACCAAGGCAACGAUCAGUAGCUGGUCUGAGAGGACGACCAGCCACACUGGGACUGAGACACGGCCCAGACUCCUACGGGAGGCAGCAGUAGGGAAUUUUGCGCAAUGGGCGAAAGCCUGAUCCAGCAAUGCCGCGUGUGUGAAGAAGGCCUUCGGAUUGUAAAACACUGUUAUCAGGGAAGAACACAUGGGUAAGAAUACAGGCAGGUGUUGACGGUACCGGAAGAGUAAGCACCGGCUAACUACGUG
RNAcentral lists this ribosomal RNA (486 nucleotides) under uncultured bacterium. Its description in RNAcentral is "partial 16S ribosomal RNA". It matches the Rfam family "Bacterial small subunit ribosomal RNA", at positions 30 to 507 of the family's 1533-position model. The record is from RNAcentral.